Molecule: long non-coding RNA, 2986 nt
Organism: Pygocentrus nattereri (red-bellied piranha)
Lineage: Eukaryota; Metazoa; Chordata; Actinopteri; Characiformes; Serrasalmidae
Source: Ensembl
GAGAGAGAGAGAGAGAGAGAGAGAGAGAGAGAGAGAGAGACUCCCUUACUUACUGAGUGAAGGAAGGCACAAGGGGCAGGACCACCUAACACGUGUGCCCAACCCCCCUUUUCCCUCCUCUAAACACACACACACUCUGUACCUCUCUUGAGCUUUCUUUUGCGGUGUCUCAGAGAGUUGUGUGUGCUGCCGCUGGUUCGACGCCUCUCUCCAUUCUGCCAGGGUGUGAGUAGUUAGAGUGUGAGGUAGACUGAACCUAUUAGACCGACUCCAGCUGUGUGGAGGAGCCCCGCACUUUUGUUCGAAUCACUUCCAUUCAGACGAUUGAAGACAUCAUGAAGUUUGAGCUGCUGCUGUUUGCCCUGGUUGGGCCUUUCUGUGCCAUCACACACGCAAGUACUCUGGUGGUGACCACAGCACAGGACCUGGCCAGUGUGACAGAAACUGUUAGAGAAGCUAUUGAUGCUACAGAGCCACCAAAGGAGCAGGUCACAACAGUAGCUCCAGAGGAAGCUGUCAAUGAAGUAUCUGUACUACCUGCUACUAAAGCUGCUGUGACAGAAACAGAAGCACAAGUAACUGAUACAGAAGCUCCAGUCGUAUCCACAGUGGUAGCUCCAGAUGGGCCUACUGUCACAGAAGCUACACCUGAGCCUGAUGAGACAACAAGUGUGGUAGUAACAGUGGCAGCUGUAGGGACAGUGGCAGCUGUAGGGACAGAGCCAGCUGUAGUGACAGAGGCAAAAGAAGAGGAAAAUGCAGCUCCAGAGGCCGAAGCAGAGUUAGAGCAAGAGACUGCAACACAGGCAGAUGUGGAAGUGGAAGAUUCAGGCUUGAGUACAGGCCAUGUGGUGGGCAUUGUGAUUGGUGCCCUGGUAGCUGUGGUCAUCAUCAUCGCUGUGAUAGUUGUGGUGGUCAGGAGGAUGGGCCAAUACUCGGCUGCAAAGAAACGAAAACCUCAAAAACAAGACGGCAUCAUGAUCUCUCCCCUGAAAAGGAAGGCAGCGCGACAGGAAGAGAAGAAGAAAAAGUUCUUGAAAUUCUGAACUACUGAACCGACGUCAUUUCCUGUCAUUAAACAAAAAGCAAGCUAGGAGCACUCUGAACCAUCCAGGACUAUGAGGACGGUGUACUCACGCUCCCUCCCCACCACCACCAACCACAGAGCUAUUGAUAUGGAUGCUCUGCCCAACCCCCAUCAUCUCCCCUAUGUGUACCCCCCUCCCCCACCCCCUCACUACCAAAGAUUGAGACAGGAAGUCAAACCGACCCUCUGUGUUCUUAGGCACAGUAAUGUAAAGGAAAAGAGAGAGAGGAGGAAUGUGAAUGUGCAGACACACCUCACAGAGUCAGGGUCUGGAAAGAGGACCUAAUGAACCACAUUAACAAACACACACAUACCAGCAACCUUAAUAUCUGUCGACAUAUCUCUUAAAAACUAGGGAGAAUUAUAGGCAAUGAAAUAAAUACAUACAUUUCUGUAUUUAUACCAGAAGAUGGAGAUCAUAAACAAUAAAAGUCUCAAAUCGUCGCUGUCAUAUCAAAACCGUGUACCAUCCUCUUUUUUUUUAGGUUUUUAACUUUUCUGAUAUGCAAGGGAAAUAUAUUUCCAUAUGUUUUUCAAAAGAUGUGUCAGGUUUGUAAUAAAUUUUGACAUAUGUGAAUUUAGAAAUGGACACUAUUACGUUUAUUACAUCUACAUAAGUGCACAUAUGUAAAUGUAUUGCCAUAUAUGCAUAUAUUGUCAUAUAUUUCAUUAUUAAAAAUGGCACAGGUAGACAUAUUUGGAACAUAUAUUUUAAAACAUCACGUAUAUUGCACAUAUAUUUUUAAUAUGAGCAAAUGUAUGUGCAUAUAAUUUUCUUCCAUGUAGGUAUUAUUGUUUACACCAUUGGAAAACACCAGCUCCCCUUUACAUUGUGUGAACAUUUCACAGUAAUGGACCAACAGAAAAGGUCCAAACUAAAAUAAUAGCUUGUUACAUUGAUGUACAUUCAGGUUAAGAACAUGUUGUCAUUCUUAAGACCUGAGUUUUUGUUACAACAGCGACAAAACACAAUCUUCAUCUGCCAUUAUCUUAAUUUUCAUAGCAUUCUGCAUAUCGUUAGCAUGCAUGCACACACAUAGACGCUCUAUGCACAUUCUUUUCCAAUCACAAUGACAGGUCAACUGAAAUGUCCGGCAGUAGAAUGAAGCAAUAAAGACAGCUUAUCACCAGAUUCUAAACAGGAGACUGUAAGCUGUUAUAAGCUGUCACAAGCAGACUCUGUUAGGAUGUCUUACGCCUGGUCUUAGUGUAGCUUUGACUGUUGAAUAAAGUUUGUUUCGUAUGUAGAUGUAACUUGACAUUCUAGUAGCUUUAACUGUGGCAUUUAAAGCCUUAAUCCGGAGCUGUGAACCUUAGCAGAGGGGCUAGCACCACUGACUUGGGGACAGCUGGAUACUUCCUAAAAAUGGCUUCUUUAAUGUGAAACUGAAUUGACUGUGUUUGUUAACAGCCUCCCUUACCAAUAGUAAAUCUCAUCUCAUUUUGCGUUUCCCAAAUUUGGACUAUAUUUACAGAUGUAAAAAGCCUGUAGACACCAUCUCUAUCUGCUGUCUACAAUAUGUGGUCUGGCCUUCAGAUUUGUGUACUGACCUCUGGUUCACUGGACUAGAAGUGGUUCUUUUUGCUGCAUUUUUAAGGGGUGUGUGAGUUAUGCUCUGCUUGCUUUAAGAGAUCAAUAAUACAUGCACUGACUGAUAAACAAUGUUUGGUAGAAAAGGCCUUUAGACACUGCAACCGUUUGCAACGAUGCUUGAUUUGCCUUUUUUAUGCUUCAUAGUCCACAUGCCAAGUCCUUUUACUGUCUGCUUUCAACAAAAGGCAUUUUAUUUAAUUGCAGUGUUUUUUCUCCCUUUUUGGAUGUUCAUACUGUUUAAAUAAAAAAGUGAAAAAAGAACAGUGUGAAUUUCUUCAGUAUUGGGGGUCUGGGGGUUGUCAACC